CGGAGCAGAGCAGCCCGGUAGCUCGCCAGCCUCAUAAGCUGGAGGCCACAGGUUCGAAUCCUGCCUCCCAACCA
This 74-nucleotide transfer RNA is filed under the name Rhizobium leguminosarum bv. viciae. Its description in RNAcentral is "tRNA-Met". It matches the Rfam family "tRNA". From Rfam's summary of the family: Transfer RNA (tRNA) molecules are approximately 80 nucleotides in length. Their secondary structure includes four short double-helical elements and three loops (D, anti-codon, and T loops). Further hydrogen bonds mediate the characteristic L-shaped molecular structure. tRNAs have two regions of fundamental functional importance: the anti-codon, which is responsible for specific mRNA codon recognition, and the 3' end, to which the tRNAs corresponding amino acid is attached (by aminoacyl-tRNA synthetases). tRNAs cope with the degeneracy of the genetic code in two manners: having more than one tRNA (with a specific anti-codon) for a particular amino acid; and 'wobble' base-pairing, i.e. permitting non-standard base-pairing at the 3rd anti-codon position. Lineage: Bacteria; Pseudomonadati; Pseudomonadota; Alphaproteobacteria; Hyphomicrobiales; Rhizobiaceae. The record is from RNAcentral.